RNAcentral lists this non-coding RNA (28 nucleotides) under Verminephrobacter eiseniae EF01-2. Lineage: Bacteria; Pseudomonadati; Pseudomonadota; Betaproteobacteria; Burkholderiales; Comamonadaceae. The record is from RNAcentral.
GUUCACUGCCGAAUAGGCAGUUCAGAAA